Molecule: unclassified non-coding RNA, 3003 nt
Filed under: Hevea brasiliensis (rubber tree)
Lineage: Eukaryota; Viridiplantae; Streptophyta; Magnoliopsida; Malpighiales; Euphorbiaceae
Source: RNAcentral
GGACUACCCUACAGGAUCCAUCCUGAAAUAUACAAUGCCAGCAUUAAUUAAUUCAUUACAUGAAUAGUUCAAGAAUCCAACGAGUGCAGGAAUUCCAAGGAAAGAGAACAUAUGUGAGGUGCCACCCACAUGAACACAGUUUGGGCUGUAAUGUAGUAUUGAAAAAGUUACGAAGAUCUUAAAGGACAAACUUAUUUGGGAAUAAAGAAUGGAAACUAAGCAAGCUAAGUAGGCACUCCCUUACUAGCCAGAAUUUAUGUAGGAAUUAACGCUACAUUUAGUAGACCGUAAUGUAAUCAAAUUUUCUAUUGAAUCUCAAUAGAAAAUUUGAUUACAUCAUAUUGCGCACUACUGUCUACCAAAUGUAGCAAGAAAAAAAUAAGGAAAGAUGAUCCCAGGCUUCUUCAGUAACAAUUGGCUUGCAUCUUUAAUCCACUAUUUUCUUUGUAACAUGUGGGAUCCACUGUAUUCUUCGGUAAGAAUUGCCUUGCAUCUUUAAUCCACUAUCACGUGAGUGCAGGCUUCACUCACCAUUUUCAAAAUGCAAAAUUAGUAAUUGCUUUGCUAGUUAUACAUAAGGUUCUGAUAAGAACAAAUUACAAGGAAAGAAUGUCACUUGUCCAAGGGUAAUUUCCACCCAAAAAAUCUAGGAGCAAUCUCCACUCCUCAAACUUUGCAAUAGAUCCAAGUAUCCGAAGCAUUCAGGACUGAUAUACCUGCAACGAAUGCAGAUGAUUUAGAAUUCUCAAAGCAUAAUCACCACAUUGUAGAUAUGUUUACUAUUUUGUUUUUUUAACUCUGUCCAAGUUCAGAUCACUCAAGAGGUACAAUGCAAUAAACAAGCAAUGACUAGACUAAAAUAAGGCAAAGGAUUAGAAGGUACACACUUGAGUUGUGCCUCUAGUAAUUUUCUCCAUACUUGAACAAUGACAACCUUGUUAAAUGCUUAACACAGCACUGGCGAAGGGCCACUAAAGAUACAUUUUGAUCCCCUUCAUGAUUUCUAUAGGUUUCAAUGAUCAGGAAUAUAUAUGUAUUGAUGACUUGUUCCCUCUUCGACAUUUCCAUAACAAGAUUGCUUAAGCCUAUUCUAUUCUCCCUGUACAUGUUCCAGGAUCAAAGCCUUGAGUCCAGGCUUGGGGCUUCAUAAAAGGGAAGGAAGGCAGCAAAAUCCUAAAUGCAGAGUCGUAGAGGCUCGCUGACUUCUUUACUGGCUGGGAAGGCCCUUAGAUAUGAAAGGCAGAAUCUAAAAAGUUAAUUAUGUGUAAGUAUCUGGCUCUAACAUGUGCUAGAAGUAGGUCAGAGACGCACACAAGUGAAGGAAAGAGGAUGGAGCUGACCGCAUAAAUAAUUUGGUACUAAUCAAUAGAUGGAUAUUACUAUCGAUAAUAUAGAUGAGAGUUCUCUCUUUUAAGUUAAAUGACUAGGCAUAGGUUUGAAAAUGAUUAAAUGACAAAUCAAAAGGGUCAAAACAAAUAGCAGAAACAAUAGAGAAGAAAUACCCAUGCCGAAACAGGAAAUCAAUAAUGACAAGGGAGCAGUUUGGCUUGAAAAAAUGUGUCCUCCGAAUAAUAUUUGCAACAUUUUUCACGGGGAUCAACUUGAAACUCUCCACUUCUCCAUCUGCCACAUUAUAAGGGCAUCAUAAAGGAUUAGAAAAAAUUGCAAAGAAAUAUAUGGUUCAAGGAUUUAAUAUUCAAAUUUAGAAGCAAAAUUAAAAUGUCCAAGGAUAUCAACUUUUAACUACAACUAAACUGAAUGCAAGAAGAAGCUCGAUGACUUUACCUUGAUUAUUAGGUAGAAAACUAUCAGGAAGUUUCAAAUCAUAACAAAAUAGAACAUCUCUCUUGUAUCUAUAACCUUCAAUGUCCGCAUAAGAAACAGCACCAAUUGGUACAGCUCUGUGAGAGGAACAAUUAUGAAAACAUCAUCAGAAAGAGAGUGGCUGCAACAGUAUCAAGGUCAAUUGAGGAUGUGAAUCUGCCAUCCCAAGGAUUGACUUCCUGGCCAAUACAAUACAAUGCAUGCUGGAUGUACUGAAUAAUUCAGUGGCUAUAGAAAAAUUACUUGUGUGAAAUGGAUUGAGGUAUUCCUGCCUCCUCUUCACAUUCCUUCAUAACAUUCUCUCCACAAGAGAUCCCAUAAGGCAGUCCUCCAGCAACAAGGUGAUCUAGCAUCCCUGGAAACGUGGGUUUCACUUCGCUUCUCUUUCCAAUCCAUAGAAAUUUCUCCCCAUCUUUUUCAACAAAUCCAUUCAUGUGAACUCCAUAGGCCUUUAUUCCAAAAAAAGGAGCUGCAGCACGUUCCAACGAAAAGUAGACAGGAGAACCAAACGAUGAUACCACAGGAUACAGCUCAUUUCGUAUACCUGGAAUCAGUUCUUCUUCUCCUAAACAUUUGAUAACUUCUCCAACAACUCUAGUUCUAUCCUCCGGCGUCUUUAGAAUUUCAUGUAACGUUACAUAGCUCUGAAAGCGACCUCCAUCGGAAUUACUUCGAGGGAAAACAAAAACAUCCUUGAACGUCCUCAACCGAUCAACAAAACCGUUAUGUAUAUAACCAACAAUUUGAUCUUCGAUAAUGAAUCGAAUAAACUCAGAUUGCCUUUCAGAGCCGCGAUUGCAGACUUCGAUCUUUUCGAAAAAGCCAGAGAGAUCUGAGGAAUCGUGAGGAACAUGAUCAGGUUGAGAGACUCGGACGACGUCGUCCCAAGUGAAGCUACUGGUACUGGCUCUACUGCUUCUAGCAUUAGAAAUAAGGGCGCGAAGUGGAAAUGUCCGCGCCGUUGAGGGCAUCUUAGGAGGAGCAAUAAAGGAUUUUGAUGCGCAGAGAGAAGAAAAUGAGAAACGGAGUUUGGUUGAAAAAUGGUGGUGACGGUGAGGAAUGCAACAUUCCAUCGGAGCUGAAAACUGGACGGAGAAGAUUAUAAUACUACCGCAGGAGUCCUUCAAGGCGGCUGAGCUUGAAGAUUUUAGCGUUGAAGCCUGAAGCCCUCGCUUUCAG